This 465-nucleotide ribosomal RNA is filed under the name uncultured bacterium. RNAcentral describes it as "partial 16S ribosomal RNA". It matches the Rfam family "Bacterial small subunit ribosomal RNA", at positions 28 to 507 of the family's 1533-position model. The record is from RNAcentral.
GACGAACGCUGGCGGCGUGCUUAACACAUGCAAGUCGUACGGUAAGGCCCUUUCGGGGGUACACGAGUGGCGAACGGGUGAGUAACACGUGAGUAACCUGCCCACAACUUUGGGAUAACGCUAGGAAACUGGUGCUAAUACUGGAUAUGUGCUCCUGCUGCAUGGUGGGGGUUGGAAAGCUCCGGCGGUUGUGGAUGGACUCGCGGCCUAUCAGCUUGUUGGUGGGGUAGUGGCCUACCAAGGCGGCGACGGGUAGCCGGCCUGAGAGGGUGACCGGCCACAUUGGGACUGAGAUACGGCCCAGACUCCUACGGGAGGCAGCAGGGGGGAAUAUUGCACAAUGGGCGCAAGCCUGAUGCAGCAACGCCGCGGGCGGGAUGACGGCCUUCGGGUUGUAAACCGCUUUCAGCAGGGACGAAGCUUUUUGUGACGGUACCUGCAGAAGAAGCACCGGCUAACUACGUG